This 1117-nucleotide unclassified non-coding RNA is filed under the name leaf metagenome. RNAcentral describes it as "partial contains internal transcribed spacer 1, 5.8S ribosomal RNA, internal transcribed spacer 2, and large subunit ribosomal RNA". The stretch from base 549 to 1117 matches the Rfam family "Eukaryotic large subunit ribosomal RNA", at positions 1 to 580 of the family's 3401-position model. The record is from RNAcentral.
GGAUCAUUACAGAGUUAUCUAAACUCCCAAACCCAUGUGAACUUACCUAUGUUGCCUCGGCAGGAGCCUACCCGGUACUUACCCGGUAGCUACCCGGGAACUACCCGGUAAAUUACUACCCGGUAGUUGCUGGGUAGCCCUGUCAGAGGACCCUUUAAACUCUUGUUUUACUGUGGCACUCUGAGUAACCAAAAGUAAAUAAGUUAAAACUUUCAACAACGGAUCUCUUGGUUCUGGCAUCGAUGAAGAACGCAGCGAAAUGCGAUAAGUAAUGUGAAUUGCAGAAUUCAGUGAAUCAUCGAAUCUUUGAACGCACAUUGCGCCCACUAGUAUUCUGGUGGGCAUGCCUGUUCGAGCGUCAUUUCGACCCCUAAGCCUUAGUUGUUUAGCGUUGGGAGCUUGCAUCCUCGUGGUUUAGCCGCGACGCAACUCCUUAAAUUUUCGUGGCAGGGCUCGCGUCGCCUUAAAGUGUAGUAAUUUUCUUCUCACUUUUAGAAGGCGUUCGCGCGGCACAGCCAAGUGAAACAUAUAUAUAUAUAUCAAGUGGUUGACCUCGGAUCAGGUAGGAAUACCCGCUGAACUUAAGCAUAUCAAUAAGCGGAGGAAAAGAAACCAACAGGGAUUGCCCUAGUAACGGCGAGUGAAGCGGCAACAGCUCAAAUUUGAAAUCUGGCCCUCGGGUCCGAGUUGUAAUUUGUAGAGGAUGCUUUUGGUGCGGCGCCUUCCGAGUUCCCUGGAACGGGACGCCAUAGAGGGUGAGAGCCCCGUACGGUUGGAUGCCUAGCCUCUGUAAAGCUCCUUCGACGAGUCGAGUAGUUUGGGAAUGCUGCUCUAAAUGGGAGGUAAAUUUCUUCUAAAGCUAAAUACCGGCCAGAGACCGAUAGCGCACAAGUAGAGUGAUCGAAAGAUGAAAAGCACUUUGAAAAGAGGGUUAAAUAGCACGUGAAAUUGUUGAAAGGGAAGCACUUAUGACCAGACUUUUUCCUGGCGGAUCAUCCGGCGUUCUCGCCGGUGCACUUCGCCAGGUUUAGGCCAGCAUCGAUUUCUGUAGGGGGAUAAAGACUUCGGGAAAGUAGCUCUCUUCGGGGAGUGUUAUAGCCCGUCGUGUAAUACCCUU